UUACUUAUUGCCUUUGAUUUGGAUGUGCUUACUUCAACCCUCUGUAACAUCUUUAUCCAAACUCUAAACUCAUCAAAUAAUAUAUAAAAAGUAUAGUCAAAGAAGUGCUCUCUUGAGUCCUAGUCUUUGAUUUCUUGUUGCUCUCCAUAAUCGUAUGUUAUGCCCCAAAGAGUGAUAGUAGGUAUGAAAUUGACACCUUAACUUUGAGCACCAAUAACUCCUUCAUAA
RNAcentral lists this long non-coding RNA (228 nucleotides) under Physcomitrium patens. Its description in RNAcentral is "long non-coding RNA (PPAT_LNC005358)". Lineage: Eukaryota; Viridiplantae; Streptophyta; Bryopsida; Funariales; Funariaceae. The record is from RNAcentral.